AGGUGAACCUGCGGAAGGAUCAUUACCGAAUGAGCUGCGCAUCAGUGCGCACCUUCUUGUAGUAGACCGUUCAAUAGUCUGUCAUCAGAAUUCGAUGGGAAAUCUCGGAUGCUGUUGUGGCAGGCCUUUGGUCUCCUAUGUCUUCUUUUUUUCACCACACAAAACCUGUCAUCGUAUGGUGUUGCACUUUGAACACAUAUAAUAUAACUUUCAACAACGGAUCUCUUGGCUCUCG
RNAcentral lists this unclassified non-coding RNA (235 nucleotides) under uncultured fungus. RNAcentral describes it as "partial contains 18S rRNA, ITS1 and 5.8S rRNA". Lineage: Eukaryota; Fungi. The record is from RNAcentral.